GUAACGACCUCAUUAUUUGACUCAGGUGUGUUGAAGUUGAGACACAUCUAAAAGUUGCAGGAGACCGGCCCGCGAGGCCUGGAGUUACCCACCCCUGGGCUAGAUCCAGGACAGGAGCUGCCUUCUAGUUUCAGUAACCUCCAUGAUGUCAUUUUCUGCUGGCAGGAGUGAAGAAAAUGCUCCUGUUGAGGUUCCUCGAGAGCUGGCACCAGUCUGGUUUUGGACCAAACUGAGUGGAACCCCAGGUCCUGGAGCCCAGGCCACAUGACCAGAGGCGAAGAACCCAGGACCAACCAUGGCAACAGACAAGCAGGACCGCCUCUGAGUCUCAGCCUGACUUUACAUGUGAUGUUCCAUUUGCCCCAUCAGAAGCUGUUCAGGGCAGCAUUCAGUCCCGCUGUGCAGAAAAAAUGGCUGCCAACAAAACUUGUUAGUUUUUAAUGGUUUUUCUUGAAUUUUCGAAUUGUGUGAUGCCACUUUUUCUCACCUUAGUUUAGUUACAGCACAUUCAUGGUCUACUGCCUUGGCAUUCUGACCUCUGCUAUCUGAUCACCAGGAUAAGUUUAACGGUACAAGUGAAGGCCCGAUGCAGGAGGGUGUUAGAACUCUCUGCAGGUUACAGAAAUAUUUUGUUUGCCUGAAUGAUUAUAACUCUGAUUGUCCAACAUUUGGCUAAUGUGUUUUUCUCCUCCAGCAUGACAACAAUUGAAAAAGGAUAAAAGUACGGUAAAAAUAGUUAAUUUCCUGAUUUACAAAAGCAUAACCAACCACAUUUAAAAUACAAGAGAGGAUAGUCUAGUUGGGUCAAAUUACAGUGGCUAUAAAUAUAAGGACUCCUAUUUAAGUAAUGAUUUAGGUUUAUUUGGACUCCAUUUUAAAUCCUACGACACUUUAUUCUACGUAAAAUUACUGAACCAAAUUAUGGGUUUGCUGCACAUAUUGUCAAUCAAAUAUUCAAUUCUUUCACUGAGGUGUAAACACCAUGUUUAAAUUAAAUCCAACUGUUAUASUUAGCAAUGAAAGAAAAUUUGGGCUAAAUGAUUUGAGUGGGUUUCUUAGGAGUUUCUGUACCGAAACACUAAGUGUUUCAAUACAGAAACGGGGAGAUGCAUGGAAAUAAUCUAAUCUACAAAUUGUGAGUUAAUAUAAUCUAUUGAGAAAUGUUUCAGUUUUGGGCUUCAGCUAAAUAUAAAAGAGGUUAAAUCAAAAUUCACAAAUGGGUCAACUAUUCGAAUGAGUUAACAAAGUAAUGCUGAAUAUUCUGAAUUGAAUACAUUAAAACUAACAAUGAUGUCAUGUGACAAACCUAAUAUCGUAACGGACUGAAUGUUAUAUUUCUAACAUAAUCUCAGGUCAGUUUGUGGAGCGCCGGAGGUUGCCAUGGCAACGGGUGUGACAGAGAGAGAGAGAAAGCAAAAGGUUCCACAUUAAAGUUUGAUGCAGCUCUGCUUU
Poecilia reticulata (guppy) is the source of this 1452-nucleotide non-coding RNA. The record is from RefSeq and is a predicted model, not a curated record. Lineage: Eukaryota; Metazoa; Chordata; Actinopteri; Cyprinodontiformes; Poeciliidae.